GCGGGGGGUACGAACGGGAACCUCGGCGGUGGCGGGGGGAUGCUCGGGGGAGCCCGCAGGUUCCUGGUGCGAUGAGCAGCACGGCAGCAGCCUCGGGGCUUUGCUGGCAGCUGGGCAAGGUGCACGGGGCUGCAGGGAUGGGAAUCCAGGCAGGACUGAGCUGAGGGAGCUGCGGCCUUCAGCACGAGGAUCCAGCACUUCCAAGUGGCUUUUCCACCCAAACUUCCCCUUUAUUAUGACCUGUUCCUCAAGGGUGUUCUUCUAGAUCUGUGUUUUCCCUGGGAAUGGAGGUGCCCUUCGUGCUGCUCCUGACCAGGCUCGUGGCAGAAGUUGCAGGAAAAUCCACAGAAAACUCAGUGCCAGACCCAGAAUGUUGUGUGGAAAUGUUGGAUUCCAACAGCUCCUGCCCAGUCACCCACCAGUGCAGCCCAGGUAG
Long non-coding RNA from Melospiza melodia melodia, 436 nucleotides. RefSeq lists it as uncharacterized. NCBI's taxonomy places the organism in Eukaryota, Metazoa, Chordata, Aves, Passeriformes, Passerellidae. The transcript has 5 exons. The record is from RefSeq and is a predicted model, not a curated record.